GCUGACACGACAGUCCAAUCUCAUAUUAUUGUAAACAAUAAUGAUAAAAAUCAGAUUGGACCUUCGUUCCCAUAAUUUUAAGUGAUUACUAAUCCUUAUCACUGAUUAGAAUCACUUUUUAUAUAAAAUAUACAUGCGAUGGAGAUCAUUAGUAUACAAAAAGGUUUAUUUUAUUGUGUGCAACACUUAUCUGGUGUGGAAGAAUGGAAUUAUAAUAAGUGGCUGCACAACCAAAUUCGGUCGGAAUCGAUCGCGUCAGAUUGCUCAGGAUCCCAGCUUCCUCGUAAAAUACUUAAGAUAUACGGAACAUUACUAAGUUACAUUGUGCAGUUCUGUUUCCACUAGAUAGAGGAUAAAAAAACGACGAAAAGGUGAAACAGAGGAAACCUAUAAUAUAAACGGAUCAUCGAAUGGAUGUCACCACAGAAUUGCGUCGGUAGGUCAGUGGAAACAGGAACUGGACAGAUAAAGAAUCAUCAAAGAUAUUAACUAACAAGGGCUAGGAUGGCCCGUGCAACACAUAAAAAUUGUUCCGGUACAUGGUCCUUGCCUCCACCGAGGCAUUCAUGUCGUCAACCACGCAGUUUAAAAAGGGACGUCAAAUCAUCUACCAGAUCAAUCCACCUUGCUGUCGUUUGCCUUUUUGUGUCCGUAAGAUUACUAUCGGGAGCCAUGAUCGCUGGGCUCUGUCCGAAAUUCUGGUUACGGCGUAUCGCAAUCGUUCAAUUUUAACGGUAUCAACGAUGGAUGAAACCCUCAACACCUGAUGCACUGAUUCAUUUAUUCGCAUUCCCCAUGUGCAAUCUUCCUGGCCUAUUACACCGGCUAUUAACUGGCGGUUUGGUGAUCAUUUGAUUUUCGAAAGAGUGAUAUUCAGGAUCAGUAGAAAUAGAACACAUAACGUUGAAGCAA
This is a long non-coding RNA of Armigeres subalbatus, 912 nucleotides long. RefSeq lists it as uncharacterized. The transcript is spliced from 2 exons. Lineage: Eukaryota; Metazoa; Arthropoda; Insecta; Diptera; Culicidae. The record is from RefSeq and is a predicted model, not a curated record.